RNAcentral lists this ribosomal RNA (510 nucleotides) under uncultured bacterium. RNAcentral describes it as "partial 16S ribosomal RNA". It matches the Rfam family "Bacterial small subunit ribosomal RNA", at positions 28 to 507 of the family's 1533-position model. The record is from RNAcentral.
GACGAACGCUGGCGGCGUGCUUAACACAUGCAAGUCGAACGAAGAGCGAUGGAAGCUUGCUUCUAUCAAUCUUAGUGGCGAACGGGUGAGUAACGCGUAAUCAACCUGCCCUUCAGAGGGGGACAACAGUUGGAAACGACUGCUAAUACCGCAUACGAUCUAAUCUCGGCAUCGAGGAUAGAUGAAAGGUGGCCUCUACAUGUAAGCUAUCACUGAAGGAGGGGAUUGCGUCUGAUUAGCUAGUUGGAGGGGUAACGGCCCACCAAGGCGAUGAUCAGUAGCCGGUCUGAGAGGAUGAACGGCCACAUUGGGACUGAGACACGGCCCAGACUCCUACGGGAGGCAGCAGUGGGGAAUCUUCCGCAAUGGACGAAAGUCUGACGGAGCAACGCCGCGUGAGUGAUGACGGCCUUCGGGUUGUAAAGCUCUGUUAAUCGGGACGAAAGGCCUUCUUGCGAACAGUGAGAAGGAUUGACGGUACCGGAAUAGAAAGCCACGGCUAACUACGUG